UUUAAAGAGAGUUUGAUCCUGGCUCAGGACGAACGCUGGCGGCGUGCCUAAUACAUGCAAGUCGAACGAACGGAGGAAGAGCUUGCUCUUCCAAAGUUAGUGGCGGACGGGUGAGUAACACGUGGGCAACCUGCCUGUAAGUUGGGGAUAACUCCGGGAAACCGGGGCUAAUACCGAAUGAUAAAGUGUGGCGCAUGCCACGCUUUUGAAAGAUGGUUUCGGCUAUCGCUUACAGAUGGGCCCGCGGUGCAUUAGCUAGUUGGUAGGGUAAUGGCCUACCAAGGCAACGAUGCAUAGCCGACCUGAGAGGGUGAUCGGCCACACUGGGACUGAGACACGGCCCAGACUCCUACGGGAGGCAGCAGUAGGGAAUCUUCCGCAAUGGACGAAAGUCUGACGGAGCAACGCCGCGUGUAUGAAGAAGGUUUUCGGAUCGUAAAGUACUGUUGUUAGAGAAGAACAAGGAUAAGAGUAACUGCUUGUCCCUUGACGGUAUCUAACCAGAAAGCCACGGCUAACUACGUGCCAGCAGCCGCGGUAAUACGUAGGUGGCAAGCGUUGUCCGGAUUUAUUGGGCGUAAAGCGCGCGCAGGCGGUCUUUUAAGUCUGAUGUGAAAGCCCCCGGCUUAACCGGGGAGGGUCAUUGGAAACUGGAAGACUGGAGUGCAGAAGAGGAGAGUGGAAUUCCACGUGUAGCGGUGAAAUGCGUAGAUAUGUGGAGGAACACCAGUGGCGAAGGCGACUCUCUGGUCUGUAACUG
RNAcentral lists this ribosomal RNA (760 nucleotides) under Listeria monocytogenes. RNAcentral describes it as "bacterial SSU rRNA". It matches the Rfam family "Bacterial small subunit ribosomal RNA", at positions 1 to 742 of the family's 1533-position model. The record is from RNAcentral. Lineage: Bacteria; Bacillati; Bacillota; Bacilli; Caryophanales; Listeriaceae.